RNAcentral lists this non-coding RNA (86 nucleotides) under Pseudomonas sp. 2848. Lineage: Bacteria; Pseudomonadati; Pseudomonadota; Gammaproteobacteria; Pseudomonadales; Pseudomonadaceae. The record is from RNAcentral.
CUUCAUGGCAGUUGUGCGUGGGGCACAUUCGUGUGCGCCGGGAACCUGAGCCUCGGUCUGUCAACCUACGUACAGCUGCCUCCAUU